RNAcentral lists this ribosomal RNA (254 nucleotides) under uncultured bacterium. RNAcentral describes it as "partial 16S ribosomal RNA". It matches the Rfam family "Bacterial small subunit ribosomal RNA", at positions 524 to 776 of the family's 1533-position model. The record is from RNAcentral.
GACGUAGGGCGCGAGCGUUGUCCGGAUUUAUUGGGCGUAAAGAGCUCGUAGGCGGUGUGUCGCGUCGGCCGUGAAAACCUGCAGCUUAACUGUGGGCUUGCGGUCGAUACGGGCAUCACUGGAGUUCGGCAGGGGAGACUGGAAUUCCUGGUGUAGCGGUGAAAUGCGCAGAUAUCAGGAGGAACACCGGUGGCGAAGGCGGUGGUCUGGGCCGGCACUGACGCUGAGGAGCGAAAGCGUGGGGAGCGAACAGG